Molecule: long non-coding RNA, 842 nt
Organism: Mastomys coucha (southern multimammate mouse)
Lineage: Eukaryota; Metazoa; Chordata; Mammalia; Rodentia; Muridae
Exons: 3
Source: RefSeq, a predicted model, not a curated record
UUUUUACCCCUAGGCUUCGUGAAAACUGGAACGCCUCCCAAUGGUGCCAGAAGCCAGCUGUGGGAAGUCUGCUCCCCUGGGCUCUCCUUUAAAUAGAGUUUAUGUUGGGAUGAGUUUGUUUCCUCUGCUCUCUAUCUUGAAGUCCUAACCCCAGUCAGUGCUUCAGAAUGUAGCUGUAUUUGGAGGCGGGAGCUUCAUGGAGAUUACUGCCUUGAAAUGAUGUCACUACAGCAGUCUGAAGCCAAUGUGACGAAUGUCUUUAUCAGAGGACAGCGAUGAGCCCAGAGGGAAGACGGUGCCAACACAGAGCAAGACAAGUCUUGGGUUGGUUCCCCAGGAAACAGACCAACAGGUGACAGGAAAGAAACAUGGGAAAUCAGCUCAAGAGGAUGUAGAGGUGGAAAAGCUCACAGUCUCCUGUCUGCAUGCUGAAAACCCAGGAGCUAGAACAAUGAUGUUUGCCCUCAUCUGAGGGCAGAGACCCAGGAAUCCACUACUGUAAUGACCAACAUUCUCCCUUCCAUCUUGUUUUACUGAAGACCUCAGUGAACUGGACAAGGCUCACUCACACUGCUUUUCUUACUCCAUUUCCUGCAAGACUGAGUUGCUUAUCACAGACUGACACUUCCCAUGCAAGCUUCUUCUGCAUGCCUCCCUGCUCCAAGGAUGCUGGACUGAAGAGACCCUGAGAUCUAGAAAUGUUGAUGAAACCUGAGUUUUCAUGUGUUCUUAGAGCUCUGAGGACUGAGGCAAAAACCAAGGGACCAGACGGAUGCCAAACCCUGCGGACUCAAACUUGCAGAAUUACGUGCACAAUAAACAGCUAACAGCAAAGGCAACUA